Molecule: ribosomal RNA, 1511 nt
Filed under: uncultured prokaryote
Description: partial 16S ribosomal RNA
Rfam family: Bacterial small subunit ribosomal RNA
Source: RNAcentral
AGAGUUUGAUCCUGGCUCAGAACGAACGCUGGCGGCGCGUUUUAAACAUGCAAGUCGAACGAGAAUCCCAGUGCUUGCAUUGGGAAGAGAGUGGCGAACGGGUGAGUAACACGUGGAUAAUCUACCUUUAGGUUGGGGACAACUAUUCGAAAGGAUGGCUAAUACCGAAUAAUAUAAUUAUUACAUAAGUAGUAAUUAUCAAAGAUGGGGAUUUUCGGACCUAUCACCUAUUGAUGAGUCCGCGUCCCAUUAGCUAGUUGGUGGGGUAACGGCCUACCAAGGCUGCGAUGGGUAGCCGGCCUGAGAGGGUGUACGGCCACAUUGGGACUGAGAUACGGCCCAGACUCCUACGGGAGGCAGCAGUUAAGAAUCUUGCGCAAUGGGCGAAAGCCUGACGCAGCGACGCCGCGUGGACGAUGAAGGCCUUCGGGUUGUAAAGUCCAAUAAGCAGGGAAGAAUAAGCAAAAACUAAUAUUUUUUGUGAUGACGGUACCUGCCUAAAGCCCCGGCUAACUACGUGCCAGCAGCCGCGGUAAUACGUAUGGGGCGAGCGUUGUUCGGAAUUAUUGGGCGUAAAGGGCGUCUAGGCGGGGAACUAAGUUAGGUGUGAAAUCCAUGGGCUUAACUCAUGAACUGCAUCUAAAACUGGUUCUCUUGAGUUAGGGAGAGGAAAGCGGAAUUCCCGGUGUAACGGUGAAAUGUGUAGAUAUCGGGAGGAACACCAGUGGCGAAGGCGGCUUUCUGGCCUAUAACUGACGCUGAAGCGCGAAAGCGCGGGUAGCGAACGGGAUUAGAUACCCCGGUAGUCCGCGCCGUAAACGUUGUAUACUAGGUGUUAGUGGCUUGACCACUAGUGCCGAAGCUAACGCAUUAAGUAUACCGCCUGGGGAGUACGCCCGCAAGGGUGAAACUCAAAGAAAUUGACGGGGGCCCGCACAAGCGGUGGAGCAUGUGGUUCAAUUCGACGCAACGCGAAGAACCUUACCUGGGUUUGAACUGCUAGGGACCCGCGGAGAGAUACACUCUCUUCGAGACUUCGGUAGAGGUGCUGCAUGGCUGUCGUCAGCUCGUGUCGUGAGAUGUUGGGUUAAGUCCCGCAACGAGCGCAACCCUUGCCCUCUGUUGCCACCAGGUAAUGCUGAGCACUCUGAGGGGACUGCCGGUGAUAAACCGGAGGAAGGUGGGGAUGACGUCAAGUCCUCAUGGCCUUUAUGUCCAGGGCUACACACGUGCUACAAUGACGGGUACAAAGGGUCGCAAAACCGUGAGGUGGAGCUAAUCCCAGAAAACCCGCCCCAGUUCGGAUUGGAGUCUGCAACUCGACUCCAUGAAGGUGGAAUCGCUAGUAAUCGUGGAUCAGCAGGCCACGGUGAAUACGUUCCCGGGCCUUGUACACACCGCCCGUCACAUCACGAAAGUUGGCUGUACUAGAAGUCGCUGGGCCAACCCGCAAGGGAGGCAAGUGCCGACGGUAUGGUUGAUGAUUGGGGUGAAGUCGAAACAAGGUAGCC